AAAGAAACCAACAGGGAUUGCCUCAGUAACGGCGAGUGAAGCGGCAAGAGCUCAAAUUUGAAAGCUGGCCCCUUCGGGGUCCGCGUUGUAAUUUGCAGAGGAUGCUUCGGGUGCAGCCCCCGUCUAAGUGCCCUGGAACGGGCCGUCAUAGAGGGUGAGAAUCCCGUCUGGGACGGGGUGUCUGCGUCCGUGUGAAGCUCCUUCGAAGAGUCGAGUUGUUUGGGAAUGCAGCUCUAAAUGGGUGGUAAAUUUCAUCUAAAGCUAAAUACUGGCCGGAGACCGAUAGCGCACAAGUAGAGUGAUCGAAAGAUGAAAAGCACUUUGAAAAGAGAGUUAAACAGCACGUGAAAUUGUUGAAAGGGAAGCGUUUGCGACCAGACUCGCUCGCGGGGUUCAGCCGGCAUUCGUGCCGGUGUACUUCCCCGUGGGCGGGCCAGCGUCGGUUUGGGCGGCCGGUCAAAGGCCCUCGGAAUGUAUCACCUCUCGGGGUUGUCUUAUAGCCGAGGGUGCAAUGCGGCCUGCCCGGACCGAGGAACGCGCUUCGGCUCGGACGCUGGCGUAAUGGUCGUAAAUGAGC
Molecule: ribosomal RNA, 577 nt
Filed under: Aspergillus aureolus
Lineage: Eukaryota; Fungi; Ascomycota; Eurotiomycetes; Eurotiales; Aspergillaceae
Description: eukaryotic LSU rRNA
Rfam family: Eukaryotic large subunit ribosomal RNA
Source: RNAcentral